UUCUGAAUGCAAUUUAGUUAUACUCAAUUGAGUUCAACAGUGUCUGGAAGGAUGCAAGUGAAUUUGGAGACAUAUAUGAUGAGGAUCAUUUCAUAGCUUCUCUUGAAGGCUAUGUUAAAGUUGUUAGACAGCUACCUGAGAUUUUGAUGGAAAGAUACGAUCACAAUGUUACUAACAUUCCAAACUUCCGUGUCCAAGCAUGGGCUUCUGUUAGUUAUUACCAGACAGAAGUUUACCCUGUCUUGAGGGCGCAGGGAGUUAUCCGAAUUGCACCAUUUGCUAAUAGAUUGGCGAUGAAUGUUCCUCCUUAUAUUCAGUUGCUAAGAUGCAUUGCCAAUUAUAAAGCUCUGAGAUUCUCUUCACCUAUAACAACACUUGCAAAGAAACUAGUUGAGCGAAUGCUUGAGAAGAGCUUGAACACUGGAGGGAAGUAUGUUUCUGUGCACCUGCGAUUUGA
This is a non-coding RNA of Carica papaya (papaya), 457 nucleotides long. Lineage: Eukaryota; Viridiplantae; Streptophyta; Magnoliopsida; Brassicales; Caricaceae. The record is from RefSeq and is a predicted model, not a curated record.